Molecule: ribosomal RNA, 404 nt
Filed under: uncultured bacterium
Lineage: Bacteria
Description: bacterial SSU rRNA
Rfam family: Bacterial small subunit ribosomal RNA
Source: RNAcentral
UCGGGAAUUUUGGGCAAUGGGCGAAAGCCUGACCCAGCAACGCCGCGUGAAGGAUGAAGUAUUUCGGUAUGUAAACUUCGUAAGAAUAGGAAGAAUAAAUGACGGUACUAUUUGUAAGGUCCGGCUAACUACGUGCCAGCAGCCGCGGUAAUACGUAGGGACCAAGCGUUGUUCGGAUUUACUGGGCGUAAAGGGCGCGUAGGCGGCAUGACAAGUCACUUGUGAAAUCUCCGGGCUUAACUCGGAACGGCCAAGUGAUACUGUCGCGCUAGAGUGCAGAAGGGGCAAUCGGAAUUCUUGGUGUAGCGGUGAAAUGCGUAGAUAUCAAGAGGAACACCUGAGGUGAAGACGGGUUGCUGGGCUGACACUGACGCUGAGGCGCGAAAGCUAGGGUAGCAAACGGG